This 220-nucleotide long non-coding RNA is filed under the name Phoenix dactylifera (date palm). RNAcentral's name for it is "long non-coding RNA (PDAC_LNC003673)". The record is from RNAcentral. Lineage: Eukaryota; Viridiplantae; Streptophyta; Magnoliopsida; Arecales; Arecaceae.
GGGUCGACUCAUGUAACUCAGGGGUCGACUCAUGUUUAUCCUGGGUCGGCACUUCAAGAUAUUGAGAUGGCUCUUGCUGUGGUAACAUCAAAGGUUCGACUCUUUAAUCUUAAGGGUCGACUCAUCUUCUUCAGGAGUCGCCUCUUUAAACACAAGGGUCGACUCAUGCACUAAUUUUUCUGGCUGACGCUGAGACUGAACUGGGGUCGACUCUUCAAAC